CAUUAAUAGUGAUAAAACUCAAUUGAAUCAAACAACUCGUCACACUUGUUGCUUACAAGAGGAAUAUUUUUUUUUAUGUUCGCGCAUUACAUAUUUUAAAUCAUGCCAGUAAGGCAGACCAUCAUGAGGCUGAAAUCAAAUGUUUGAUACAUUUAUAGGAAGCAAGAAUUACCUGGUAGACCACAGAAGUGGAUAACCAAAAAAUACUUUCAAUUUUGAAGAAAAAAACAAUUUUCAAUGGUCAAAUAGAUAAAGGACACUCUCCAGGAUGUAGGCAUAGAUAUGUGAAAGACUAUCGAAAAGAGAAGACUACACCGGCUUACAUCAGAGGGUUCACCACAAGAAGCAAACCACUGGAACUGUUGCACCAUGGGAAGAACUUUCCUUCUAUGAAUCCCACUGUUUGAAGCUCUAAUCUGUUGGCGAUAAAGAACUUUCCGGAGUCCCCACCUGCCUCAUGCUCCGCACCCCAUGCCGGGACCCACCACCCCCCUGCCGGCCGCCAGGAAGUGCCGAUUAGCAGCCCACAAAGAGCCGACACUG
Molecule: long non-coding RNA, 543 nt
Organism: Anguilla rostrata (American eel)
Lineage: Eukaryota; Metazoa; Chordata; Actinopteri; Anguilliformes; Anguillidae
Exons: 3
Source: RefSeq, a predicted model, not a curated record